AAGUGCUGAACCAAUAAUUGAAUUCAUAGCUGCAUCUACCUCAACUAGCGUGGAGGAUAAUAAAGCUGAAACGAAAACAAGGCGAGGGAGGAAGCCAAAGAAGAAGGAUUAUAGUAUGGACUUUCAAUUUAGUAAAUCUGAAGUUAGUGAUGGUGAAAAUUCCUUACUCAUUGGGAAUGAUGAUGAGUGUGAUGAGGAAUUGGAUUUGGGUAUU
RNAcentral lists this unclassified non-coding RNA (214 nucleotides) under Hevea brasiliensis (rubber tree). Lineage: Eukaryota; Viridiplantae; Streptophyta; Magnoliopsida; Malpighiales; Euphorbiaceae. The record is from RNAcentral.